AACGAACGCUGGCGGCGCGCCUAAUACAUGCAAGUCGAGCGAGAAGACGCAGCAAUACGUUUGUAAAGCGGCGAACGGGUGAGGAAUACAUGGGUAACCUACCCUCGAGUGGGGAAUAACUAGCCGAAAGGUUAGCUAAUACCGCGUACGCUCCUUGGACUUCGGUUCAGGGAGGAAAGCGAUACCGUGGGUAUCGCGCUCUUGGAUGGGCUCAUGUCCUAUCAGCUUGUUGGUGAGGUAACGGCUCACCAAGGCUUCGACGGGUAGCUGGUCUGAGAGGACGAUCAGCCACACUGGCACUGCGACACGGGCCAGACUCCUACGGGAGGCAGCAGUAAGGAAUAUUGCGCAAUGGGCGAAAGCCUGACGCAGCGACGCCGCGUGGGGGAUGAAGGUCUUCGGAUUGUAAACCCCUUUCGGGAGGGAAGAUGGAACGAGCAAUCGUUCGGACGGUACCUCCAGAAGCAGCCACGGCUAACUUCGUGCCAGCCGCCGCAGUAAG
This 502-nucleotide ribosomal RNA is filed under the name uncultured bacterium. RNAcentral describes it as "bacterial SSU rRNA". It matches the Rfam family "Bacterial small subunit ribosomal RNA", at positions 29 to 524 of the family's 1533-position model. The record is from RNAcentral.